RNAcentral lists this long non-coding RNA (421 nucleotides) under Elaeis guineensis (African oil palm). RNAcentral's name for it is "long non-coding RNA (EGUI_LNC080116)". The record is from RNAcentral. Lineage: Eukaryota; Viridiplantae; Streptophyta; Magnoliopsida; Arecales; Arecaceae.
AAUUCGAUGGGUAAUCGGGUAUCAGAAUUCAUCGAUAUAUAACCCUGAUCGAAGAGUCCCAAACCAGUGGGACUCUUGACCUCGGUACCCAAAAUGUGUGGGACUCAUGAUCAGAGAAUCCUGAUUCUCGAUCACAGAGUUUCAGACAUGUAGGACUCAUAGUCCACAAGCAUUAGGACUCUUCAUCAGCCAUCAGAUCAGAUAGGAACCUCUAAUGUGUGUGACCCCGCAGGUUCAAACCUAAGCCGGUAGCACAGGAACCAAUUCCUGUACUAAUCGAAAUGACCAUCUAGCAAUAGUACCCGAUGUCCAAAUAGGUCAAAGAGUCAUAGUCUCAACACUCAGAACCUACAUGAAUAUGGUUACUGUAUAAUUCAUGCUUUUGACCCCUGUGUUUAGGAUGACUCAGGGUUAAACUGUC